RNAcentral lists this ribosomal RNA (216 nucleotides) under uncultured Anaerolineaceae bacterium. RNAcentral describes it as "partial 16S ribosomal RNA". It matches the Rfam family "Bacterial small subunit ribosomal RNA", at positions 1169 to 1382 of the family's 1533-position model. The record is from RNAcentral. Lineage: Bacteria; Bacillati; Chloroflexota; Anaerolineae; Anaerolineales; Anaerolineaceae.
GGAAGUGGGGAUGACGUCAAGUCAGCAUGGCCUUUAUAUCCUGGGCUACACACACGCUACAAUGGGAAGGGACAAUAGGUUGCGAAGCCGCGAGGUGGAGCCAAUCCAGCAAAACUUCCCUCAGUUCAGAUUGCAGGCUGCAACUCGCCUGCAUGAAGUUGGAGUUGCUAGUAAACGCAGGUCAGCCAUACUGCGUUGAAUACGUUCCCGGGGCUU